UUUUGCUUCUAUUUUGUGAGAACAUUUUUGCUUGCUUAUCUUAUUCUCACUUCUGAAACACUAACCUUGUGAAACUACGCAUCUGGGACUCCAUCUUACACCUGGAGAUGGAGAAUGAGAAGAUUGGCAGCGUUCCCCGCAAUGUAGUUCCUCCCUUCUCAGUUAGUGGUAAGAUUUUUUUUGACACCUUCAUACUAUCGUGGUAAGGACACAUUGCCAGGCCAUCAAUUGUAUAGUCCUGAAAUUUUUUUCCUUGAGCUUCUUAUCAUGUCCAUUUGCAGUUUUGGAUGUGAUGAAACUUAUUGUUGCCCAUACUAAUUCCUUUCUGUAUCAAUGUCUGAUAAACUUGCCAGUGUCGGUAACAAAUUUAUCUCGUUGACUGGCCAGUGGAACUGAAUUAAUCCUGUCCAUGCUCCUUACUACAUUUCCACUUAACCUACUCUUAGGUUUACAUAUGACUGGCAUAGGUACAUUGUGCCUCUUUAAGGGAACAGUUCACGUUUGUUACUACGGUUUAAAGAAGUGCAAAUUUAUGCUCCAAAGAAGAACAUCUUUUCGGUUGAAGAAGGAAAACACUAAAGUAUUGGGAUUUCCCCUAAUUUCAAAUCGAUUGAGAGGCCUAGGUGUGAAAAAGAUGAAUCUUUAGUGGCCAGACAAGUAUAAUAAGAAUAAUAUCUUCUUACGGUAGGUACAAUGCCAUCUGACUUACUGACUGAGAACUGGUGUGUACAUGUUCAUGAUGAUAGAUACUACAUGGUAGCUAGUAUAGCAAGAUACUGCAGAGCAUUCCUAGUUUACAUGCAUACCAUAGCCUCUUUAGUUUCACGAGGAUUGCUUCCCUCCUGUGUUUUAGCACAAUGCAAGUAUUGUACUUUUACUUAUAUCAUACCAAAGGAACGUCAGAGUGAAAUCAAGUUGAUGUUUUUUUGGCAACAGCAAGUAGAGGUGUGGCUUGUGUUUUGGCUGCGAGAAAGCGGGCCCUGGUCUACAUACUGGAUGAGGAUGAAGAUGAAAUCUCUGAUUCAGAAUGACGGUCUGUUUGUGAAUUUGUGGUGGUUAUGCUUGUGUUGCUCCUGUGGGUGGACGUCUAAUCCUCAAUGCUGCAGACAUUGGUGUGAGAAGCAAUGCAUGUGGGCUUUCUGACUGAAGCUUUUCGGCUCCACCCUUCCUGGAGAGUGUUAAUUUAUACCUGCCAUGUGCCUUUUCUGCUAGGUGGGCAUUUGUCGAAGAGAAAAAUGGAGUAGAAGGAGAGAAAAUAUUGUGUUUUAGAGCACGUACCUUCAGCAUUGAAGCCCACAUUGGACGGAGGAGCUACUGGACCACCUGGACCAGCACCGAUCCGUGGAGUCAAUUUACAUUGAACAGGGGGGAAAUUUUCAAUUUGUAAGGCUUGAGAUGGAAAAGAGCUUGAGCUUUUCUUCUGCAUUGAACAAGAAAAGGACUCUCCAUUGAACUCCAUAACAUCAUUCCAGUUAUCAAAGGCGUUUUUCUCGAUUGUAUCUCUAUGUUCCUGGAAGAAAAACACUCGGUAAAUCACUCAAGCUAGACUAAUUGAAGUAUCUAUCUCCACUAUUGAAGCACAGGGAAAGAAGAAUAAAAGAAACAAUGAAAGAAGCUCAAUUCACUUUAUGCCUAUUGCUGCCCAUUUCUCCACCACAUAAAGGUCAGGUGCUCGAAAGAUGUAAUGGAGAGUACGAUCAAGGCAAGGAUCCUCAGG
Syzygium oleosum is the source of this 1717-nucleotide long non-coding RNA. RefSeq lists it as uncharacterized. The record is from RefSeq and is a predicted model, not a curated record. The transcript has 3 exons. Lineage: Eukaryota; Viridiplantae; Streptophyta; Magnoliopsida; Myrtales; Myrtaceae.